UACGAAGGGUGCAAGCGUUACUCGGAAUUAUUGGGCGUAAAGAGCGUGUAGGCGGCCUGGAAGGUCAGCUGUGAAAACUCGAGGCUCAACCUCGAGACGUCGGUUGAAACCACCUGGCUAGAGUCCGGAAGAGGAGAGUGGAAUUCCCGGUGUAGCGGUGAAAUGCGCAGAUAUCGGGAAGAACACCCGUGGCGAAGGCGGCUCUCUGGGACGGUACUGACGCUGAGACGCGAAAGCGUGGGGAGCGAACAGG
RNAcentral lists this ribosomal RNA (253 nucleotides) under uncultured bacterium. RNAcentral describes it as "partial 16S ribosomal RNA". It matches the Rfam family "Bacterial small subunit ribosomal RNA", at positions 524 to 776 of the family's 1533-position model. The record is from RNAcentral.